Molecule: transfer RNA, 72 nt
Filed under: Toxocara canis (dog roundworm)
Lineage: Eukaryota; Metazoa; Nematoda; Chromadorea; Rhabditida; Toxocaridae
Rfam family: tRNA
About the family: Transfer RNA (tRNA) molecules are approximately 80 nucleotides in length. Their secondary structure includes four short double-helical elements and three loops (D, anti-codon, and T loops).
Source: Rfam by way of RNAcentral
CGGGCAGUAGCUCAGUGGUAGACCUCCCUCUUCUUAUGGUGGAAAACCCGGGUUCGAUUCCCGGCUGCUUAC